UUGGAGGGCAAGUCUGGUGCCAGCAGCCGCGGUAAUUCCAGCUCCAAUAGCGUAUAUUAAAGUUGUUGCAGUUAAAAAGCUCGUAGUUGAAUUUCGGGGUCAGUAGGUUGGUCAUGCCACUGGUAUGUACUGGUCUCACUGAUUCCUCCUUCCUGAUGAACUGUAAUGCCAUUAAUUUGGUGUUGCAGGGAAUCUGGACUGUUACUUUGAAAAAAUUAGAGUGUUUAAAGCAGGCUAACGCCUGAAUACAUUAGCAUGGAAUAAUGAAAUAGGACGUUCGAUCCUAUUUUGUUGGUUUCUAGGAUUGACGUAAUGAUUAAUAGGGAUAGUUGGGGGCAUUAGUAUUCAAUUGUCAGAGGUGAAAUUCUUGGAUUUAUUGAAGACUAACUACUGCGAAAGCAUUUGCCACGGAUGUUUUCAUUAAUCAAGAACGAAAGUUAGGGGAUCGAAGACGAUCAGAUACCGUCGUAGUCUUAACCAUAAACUAUGCCGACUAGGGAUCGGACGAUGCUAACCUUUAUUGACUCGUUCGGCGCCUUACGGGAAAC
This 548-nucleotide ribosomal RNA is filed under the name uncultured Glomeromycotina. RNAcentral's name for it is "SSU rRNA". It matches the Rfam family "Eukaryotic small subunit ribosomal RNA", at positions 548 to 1098 of the family's 1831-position model. The record is from RNAcentral. Lineage: Eukaryota; Fungi; Glomeromycota.